CCUCAAGUAGUCAUAAGGACAAAAUGGUUUAUACAACAAAAAAAGAAAUUCCUCAGAAUCAGUGAGUAGCCUCAGGCUCUAAGCAUUCUACUUAGAAUGCAUGAAAUAAACAAAAUAUUUUAGGUUCAGUAAAAGAGAUCGAAACGAAGUCAUCAAUUCAACCAUUCGAAUUGUCUCCUCUAAGAUUGAUAGUCAUAAUAGAUAACUUAUAGGUACAAAAAAAAUCAUCAUGCUAGUAGCUCAAUCAGUUUCUAAUCUUGCAAUAUAUUGGUCAUAGUAUUUUGCAGCUUGUUCCAAAUCUCCAAGCUCAGUGUAGCAAUCAGCUAUUGCUCCAUAAGCUUCUGUGCUACCUGAAUCCUCUCCAUAUCUCGCCGAUAAUUCAAGAACCAGCGAGUGGUACU
RNAcentral lists this long non-coding RNA (401 nucleotides) under Solanum lycopersicum (tomato). RNAcentral describes it as "long non-coding RNA (SLYC_LNC000264)". The record is from RNAcentral. Lineage: Eukaryota; Viridiplantae; Streptophyta; Magnoliopsida; Solanales; Solanaceae.